CGCCUUGCCAGCCCGCUCAGAACUUAAAGGAAUUGACGGGGGCCCGCACAAGCGGAGGAGCAUGUGGUUUAAUUCGAUGAUACGCGAGGAACCUUACCUGGGCUCGAACGUAAGAUGACUGUAGGUGAAAGCUUACAUCUCUUCGGAGCAUUUUACGAGGUGCUGCAUGGUUGUCGCCAGCUCGUGCCGUGAGGUGUCGGGUUAAGUCCCAUAACGAGCGCAACCCCUACCUUUAGUUGCCAUCAGGUCAAGCUGGGGACUCUAAUGAAACUGCCUACGCAAGUAGUGAGGAAGGUGGGGAUGACGUCAAAUCAGCACGGCCCUUACGUCCAGGGCUACACACGUGCUACAAUGGCCGGUACAAAGGGCAGCUACCUGGUGACAGGAUGCAAAUCUCCAAAGUCGGUCUCAGUUCGGAUCGGAGUCUGCAACCCGACUCCGUGAAGUUGGAUUCGCUAGUAAUCGCGCAUCAGCCAUGGCGCGGUGAAUACGUUCCCGGGCCUU
RNAcentral lists this ribosomal RNA (504 nucleotides) under uncultured Sphingobacteriales bacterium. RNAcentral's name for it is "bacterial SSU rRNA". It matches the Rfam family "Bacterial small subunit ribosomal RNA", at positions 903 to 1382 of the family's 1533-position model. Lineage: Bacteria; Pseudomonadati; Bacteroidota; Sphingobacteriia; Sphingobacteriales. The record is from RNAcentral.